CCUACGGGAGGCAGCAGUAGGGAAUCUUCCGCAAUGGACGAAAGUCUGACGGAGCAACGCCGCGUGAGUGAUGAAGGUUUUCGGAUCGUAAAACUCUGUUGUUAGGGAAGAACAAGUACCGUUCGAAUAGGGCGGUACCUUGACGGUACCUAACCAGAAAGCCACGGCUAACUACGUGCCAGCAGCCGCGGUAAUA
RNAcentral lists this ribosomal RNA (196 nucleotides) under uncultured bacterium. RNAcentral describes it as "partial 16S ribosomal RNA". It matches the Rfam family "Bacterial small subunit ribosomal RNA", at positions 338 to 525 of the family's 1533-position model. The record is from RNAcentral. RNAcentral also lists the same sequence under 1 other name.